GGUAAGGCACCGGUUUUUGAUACCGGCAUUCCCUGGUUCGAAUCCAGGUACCCCAGCCA
Molecule: transfer RNA, 59 nt
Filed under: Escherichia coli 2-460-02_S1_C2
Lineage: Bacteria; Pseudomonadati; Pseudomonadota; Gammaproteobacteria; Enterobacterales; Enterobacteriaceae
Description: partial tRNA-Ser
Rfam family: tRNA
About the family: Transfer RNA (tRNA) molecules are approximately 80 nucleotides in length. Their secondary structure includes four short double-helical elements and three loops (D, anti-codon, and T loops).
Source: RNAcentral